This 579-nucleotide ribosomal RNA is filed under the name Streptomyces sp. I12A-01972. RNAcentral describes it as "bacterial SSU rRNA". It matches the Rfam family "Bacterial small subunit ribosomal RNA", at positions 95 to 688 of the family's 1533-position model. Lineage: Bacteria; Bacillati; Actinomycetota; Actinomycetes; Kitasatosporales; Streptomycetaceae. The record is from RNAcentral.
GUGGCGAACGGGUGAGUAAAAGGGGGAAUCUGCCCUGCACUCUGGGACAAGCCCUGGAAACGGGGUCUAAUACCGGAUACUGAGCCGCUUGGGCAUCCAAGUGGUUCGAAAGCUCCGGCGGUGCAGGAUGAGCCCGCGGCCUAUCACCUUGUUGGUGAGGUAAUGGCUCACCAAGGCGACGACGGGUAGCCGGCCUGAGAGGGCGACCGGCCACACUGGGACUGAGACACGGCCCAGACUCCUACGGGAGGCAGCAGUGGGGAAUAUUGCACAAUGGGCGAAAGCCUGAUGCAGCGACGCCGCGUGAGGGAUGACGGCCUUCGGGUUGUAAACCUCUUUCAGCAGGGAAGAAGCGAAAGUGACGGUACCUGCAGAAGAAGCGCCGGCUAACUACGUGCCAGCAGCCGCGGUAAUACGUAGGGCGCAAGCGUUGUCCGGAAUUAUUGGGCGUAAAGAGCUCGUAGGCGGCUUGUCUCGUCGGUUGUGAAAGCCCGGGGCUUAACCCCGGGUCUGCAGUCGAUACGGGCAGGCUAGAGUUCGGUAGGGGAGAUCGGAAUUUCCUGGUGUACCGGUGAAAUU